AAUUUCAUACCAACAUUAGCCAUAAUUUAUACAAAAAAAAAAAUGGGUGAUCUAACAAACUACAAUCAAUUCACAUAAUUGGACCACUGAUAUCAUACCAUUUUUUGAUAAAAAUAAUACACAACUUAAGUCAGCUUUCAUACCAACAAUAAAUCAAUUUCAUACCAAUGUUAAAACACAUUUCAUACCAUAUUCAUAAAUCGUAUAUUAAGUCAGCUUUCAUACCAAUAUUAUUCAUGUUUCAUGCCAUAUUAGUAGACAUAAUGAGAAUAAUUUGAAAAAAA
Molecule: long non-coding RNA, 284 nt
Filed under: Solanum tuberosum (potato)
Lineage: Eukaryota; Viridiplantae; Streptophyta; Magnoliopsida; Solanales; Solanaceae
Description: long non-coding RNA (STUB_LNC006734)
Source: RNAcentral